RNAcentral lists this transfer RNA (87 nucleotides) under Thermaerobacter sp. RNAcentral describes it as "tRNA-Ser". It matches the Rfam family "tRNA". From Rfam's summary of the family: Transfer RNA (tRNA) molecules are approximately 80 nucleotides in length. Their secondary structure includes four short double-helical elements and three loops (D, anti-codon, and T loops). Further hydrogen bonds mediate the characteristic L-shaped molecular structure. tRNAs have two regions of fundamental functional importance: the anti-codon, which is responsible for specific mRNA codon recognition, and the 3' end, to which the tRNAs corresponding amino acid is attached (by aminoacyl-tRNA synthetases). tRNAs cope with the degeneracy of the genetic code in two manners: having more than one tRNA (with a specific anti-codon) for a particular amino acid; and 'wobble' base-pairing, i.e. permitting non-standard base-pairing at the 3rd anti-codon position. The record is from RNAcentral. Lineage: Bacteria; Bacillati; Bacillota; Clostridia; Eubacteriales; Clostridiales Family XVII. Incertae Sedis.
GGAGGGGUAGCGUAACUGGUAACGCAGUGGUCUUGAAAACCACCGCCCGAUGAGGGCUUGCAGGUUCGAGUCCUGUCCCCUCCGCCA